Molecule: long non-coding RNA, 2693 nt
Organism: Chroicocephalus ridibundus (black-headed gull)
Lineage: Eukaryota; Metazoa; Chordata; Aves; Charadriiformes; Laridae
Exons: 4
Source: RefSeq, a predicted model, not a curated record
CGCAGAUUUUCCAUAAAAGAAAGCCUGGUUUUGUCAAGAAAUGUGGAGCAGAGAUCUUGAAUUUGAGUGAAGGCAUCUCCAGGCACUGCUGAGGAACUACUCCGUGCUCACUCCUUGGACCAAGUGCCUCACCAAUUGCUAGCAUCGCUCCAAACUUCUCUGCUUGGUGGUUUGCCAUCUGAGGCCUGAUCCAAGCCAUACAAACUGCGUAAGAAGACCGGGCUGCAGAAGUCCACCAAGAGCCGGCAUUUGUUAUUCAGUGCUAAAUUGGGUGAGUUCUUACCAAAAGCUAGAAACCAACAGUCACGGGGACGUUCCUGAGAGCAAGAUCGUCUGCUCAGCUGAGGCAUUUGCAGAAGUACUUGUACCUCUGAUGGGACACAACUUGCCGCGGCAGUCGCUUCUUUCUGGAGCCUCCUCCUGCCACCCCGCUGGACAAGAAAACAUGAAAAAGAGGAGGCCCAAGUGUGAAACCAGCCUCAAGGCUUCUCUUAUUCCUAAAUGAGAAAGUGGCAGGGAUUUUACAAACCAUUUAUUCAUCUCUCACAGCACUCCUACAGCUGUGGCAGCAAGCAGAGCCUGGGAAGGGUUUUUUGUCAUGCUGCCAUGAGUCACAAGAAAUGUGGGGAGUGCGCAAACAGUGUCAAGAGCAGGGCAGGACCUUCUUCUGAGCCCAGCCCGUGCAGGCAUGUGAAGGAGGAGGAACACGCAUCUGGUGACGCAAGCAAUUGCUUAAUGUGGCGCCCCAGAAAAGCAUCAGCAACUGUAUGGACAGGAACUCGCCAACUGUUCCACCAGACCACGCUGGACUGGCACCUCAGGGAAAAAGAGAAGGAUUCAAGCUGGAUCUGUUUUCCAUAUCCACGGGUCUCCUGGUAGAUGCACGGGAAUAACCAUUCACAACUACCAUAAAGAACAUCAUUUUACUAUGGAUGUUGCAAACCACACAAGUGACUUUUCUAUCCUUACCCUGUUAGGGAAAGGCAUCAGAAUUUUCUGUUUUUCACCAGCAAGUUGAUUUCAAAAUCUCCAAUUACAAAAAUAUAUAAAAAUGUAUUAGCCAACAGAUUUAUGUUUGAAAAAACAGCACUUUAAUUACAGAGAUACUGUAAUUCUCAAUUUUUGAGGAAAUGUGAUUACUGCAAUUUCUUCAUUAGGUUACAGCUUCACUAUUUAAGAAAACAUCAUUUAAAAGGCACCGUGUUAGCUGUUUAUUCCACACUGUUAAAACCCCAGAAAACAUAAGCAAACACUUGAAUACUCUCUUCCUAGCAACCAAGGUCUUUCAUCAGAAAAGCAGCAUAUUUGUGUUUUUUUCUGUACAUUGUAUUAAGCCAAAUUUCUAGUUUGCAACCCUUCGGGCCAUUCAAUAACCGUCAAAUUCCUGGAAUAUAAUUUUAGGUCAAAGUCCAAGCCAGUGACUAAGCCAUCUCUUUGUACGUGGUCCAAAAAAAUGUAAUUGGGCUUUUUUUCAAAAACACCACACGAGUAACAGGAAUGCCCUCCGCUUUAAUGUUACAGGCGAACCAUCUAUCAAGCUACCCAAAAUGGCUUUGGGCCAAAAUUCCAUAUUGGAUACAUCCAAACCCCUAUUUGAAUGCCUGUGUCACCACUACUUACCUGUAACACUAUGGUCACGGGGCCAGAUUUUCAGAAUUCUGUGUAUCCCUUACUUCCACUGAGAAAUAUCAAAAAGUUAAUUUUAGGCACCAAGUGUCUUUACAUUUACUAACCUGCUGCAUGACUUAAUACUUCAAAUUACCAGCAGCAUUUUAUGAAGUGCAGCAUUUCUGCAAUUCCCACUCACCAAGUACAAAAUACGGAUGAUACUGAGUUACUCCCCUGGGAUUUAGCUCUAUCUUUAAAGGCUAGGGUAGCAGUGAUGUUUUUACUGAAGAAAUGUGUUUUUUGGAUCUCUUAAGACCUUUGCAGGAUGCUGGGCAUCAAAAAAAAAAAUAUCCAGAAAAUACUUACAGUAACAGAAUCCUCGCCUUCUCUACAUCCCUUCUUUUCUUACAUAAGGGUAGGUUCUCCUUUCUUUCCUUAUCUGAGGGAGACCUAUGGUCUCCUUGCUAACUCUUUAAGAAAAUCAGAGCAGCAACUGGGAAAUGUGUCUUCCAUGGAAAAGAUGAAAGAUAGCUAAGUGAGAGGAUGUGUCCUUCGCGACACUUACAGUGUGGUCAAAGAGCCAGCGCCGCCCCCGCCUUUUCCCAAAAGAGUUUGCAGACAACUGUCCAGAAAAGUACACGGUCUCCCCACCAGUUCUGCAAACAGCAGGAGAUACUGCAGCGCUCUGGACUGCUGCUGCCCUGUCAUUUCUGAGCCUCCGAGGUCAGCUGAGUGGAUUAAAUUAACACUGUUCCCAGGCAAAGCACGACGUCUGCGAGCAGAAUGGCGUAGCAUAAUAAUGGGAUAGGAGGGGUAGAUACACGCCUAAAUAUUAAAUGGUUGGAAGGAGUGGGGAGCAUUGAUGUGAUUCUGACUUACGUGACCUAGUGCCAAAUGUAGAGUAUCUCACACACCUCUCAGCAGAUUAUAUGUCUGUUCACCACCACUUAACAUUUCCAUAGCUUAUUUCAGUAUUUUUGCAUUUGUUUCACCCUUAAUAAUUUAUUUAUGAGUUUAGGAUUAUUAACAAUUUGAAGCCUCAUUACAAACUAUCCUGGGGGAAUCUCACCUGCCUCGUCCCAUUA